This 72-nucleotide transfer RNA is filed under the name Minisyncoccota bacterium. RNAcentral's name for it is "tRNA-Arg". It matches the Rfam family "tRNA". Rfam says of the family: Transfer RNA (tRNA) molecules are approximately 80 nucleotides in length. Their secondary structure includes four short double-helical elements and three loops (D, anti-codon, and T loops). Further hydrogen bonds mediate the characteristic L-shaped molecular structure. tRNAs have two regions of fundamental functional importance: the anti-codon, which is responsible for specific mRNA codon recognition, and the 3' end, to which the tRNAs corresponding amino acid is attached (by aminoacyl-tRNA synthetases). tRNAs cope with the degeneracy of the genetic code in two manners: having more than one tRNA (with a specific anti-codon) for a particular amino acid; and 'wobble' base-pairing, i.e. permitting non-standard base-pairing at the 3rd anti-codon position. The record is from RNAcentral. Lineage: Bacteria; Bacillati; Minisyncoccota.
GCCCACGUAGUUCAAUGGAUAGAAUAGCUCACUCCUAACGAGCUGAUUCAGGUUCGACUCCUGACGAGGGCA